This 253-nucleotide ribosomal RNA is filed under the name uncultured bacterium. RNAcentral describes it as "partial 16S ribosomal RNA". It matches the Rfam family "Bacterial small subunit ribosomal RNA", at positions 524 to 776 of the family's 1533-position model. The record is from RNAcentral.
UACGUAGGGUGCAAGCGUUAAUCGGAAUUACUGGGCGUAAAGCGUGCGCAGGCGGUUUUGUAAGUCUGUCGUGAAAGCCCCGGGCUCAACCUGGGAAUUGCGAUGGAGACUGCAAGGCUUGAAUCUGGCAGAGGGGGGUAGAAUUCCACGUGUAGCAGUGAAAUGCGUAGAGAUGUGGAGGAACACCGAUGGCGAAGGCAGCCCCCUGGGUCAAGAUUUACGCUCAUGCACGAAAGCGUGGGGAGCAAACAGG